Molecule: long non-coding RNA, 286 nt
Filed under: Elaeis guineensis (African oil palm)
Lineage: Eukaryota; Viridiplantae; Streptophyta; Magnoliopsida; Arecales; Arecaceae
Description: long non-coding RNA (EGUI_LNC070672)
Source: RNAcentral
AGAAACCUAAAAGAGUUCGGCGCUACAAAAACUAAAGAAAUGUUUAAGAAGCAGAAGAGAACAAUAACAAAAAGUGGAAGCGAAAGUCGAAGCCCGGCAUGGAAAGUUUCUUGGUAUAAAUAGAAGCAGUCGGGGGGAGGAGCGCUAGCUUGGUCGGUCGGCCCGGGAAGCUCCAGCUCGUACUCUGGAGGAACCCCGUACUGAAUCCUAAUCAGUGAGAGUUCCUCCAGAGUCAGAAAGCUGAGGAUGAUGUCUGGUACAAAGAUCGGACGAGGUUCAUCUACAG